This 576-nucleotide ribosomal RNA is filed under the name uncultured bacterium. RNAcentral's name for it is "bacterial SSU rRNA". It matches the Rfam family "Bacterial small subunit ribosomal RNA", at positions 8 to 573 of the family's 1533-position model. The record is from RNAcentral.
AGAGUUUGAUCCUGGCUCAGAUUGAACGCUGGCGGCAUGCCUUACACAUGCAAGUCGAACGGCAGCAUGAUCUAGCUUGCUAGAUUGAUGGCGAGUGGCGAACGGGUGAGUAAUACAUCGGAACGUGCCCUGUAGUGGGGGAUAACUAGUCGAAAGAUUAGCUAAUACCGCAUACGACCUGAGGGUGAAAGUGGGGGACCGCAAGGCCUCAUGCUAUAGGAGCGGCCGAUGUCUGAUUAGCUAGUUGGUGAGGUAAAGGCUCACCAAGGCGACGAUCAGUAGCUGGUCUGAGAGGACGAUCAGCCACACUGGGACUGAGACACGGCCCAGACUCCUACGGGAGGCAGCAGUGGGGAAUUUUGGACAAUGGGCGAAAGCCUGAUCCAGCAAUGCCGCGUGUGUGAAGAAGGCCUUCGGGUUGUAAAGCACUUUUGUCCGGAAAGAAAUGGCUCUGGUUAAUACCUGGGGUCGAUGACGGUACCGGAAGAAUAAGGACCGGCUAACUACGUGCCAGCAGCCGCGGUAAUACGUAGGGUCCAAGCGUUAAUCGGAAUUACUGGGCGUAAGGCGUGCGCA